GUCAGGAUGGCCGAGUGGUCUAAGGCGCCAGACUCAAGGUCUCACCUUCCUUCGGGAAUUCUGGUCUCCAGAUGGAGGCGUGGGUUCAAAUCCCACUCCUGACA
RNAcentral lists this transfer RNA (104 nucleotides) under Corvus brachyrhynchos (American crow). It matches the Rfam family "tRNA". Rfam says of the family: Transfer RNA (tRNA) molecules are approximately 80 nucleotides in length. Their secondary structure includes four short double-helical elements and three loops (D, anti-codon, and T loops). Further hydrogen bonds mediate the characteristic L-shaped molecular structure. tRNAs have two regions of fundamental functional importance: the anti-codon, which is responsible for specific mRNA codon recognition, and the 3' end, to which the tRNAs corresponding amino acid is attached (by aminoacyl-tRNA synthetases). tRNAs cope with the degeneracy of the genetic code in two manners: having more than one tRNA (with a specific anti-codon) for a particular amino acid; and 'wobble' base-pairing, i.e. permitting non-standard base-pairing at the 3rd anti-codon position. The record is from Rfam by way of RNAcentral. Lineage: Eukaryota; Metazoa; Chordata; Aves; Passeriformes; Corvidae. RNAcentral also lists the same sequence under 1 other name.